Molecule: non-coding RNA, 279 nt
Organism: Pelobates cultripes (western spadefoot toad)
Lineage: Eukaryota; Metazoa; Chordata; Amphibia; Anura; Pelobatidae
Source: the annotation of a GenBank genome assembly
UGGUGGGAUCCAUGCCUGGUUCAUUUUAAUAAACGUGAGCUUGUCCGUUGCACUUGUCUGUGAUAACCUCAUGCCGAUCGCACAUCCCUUUGACGGCGACAACGUAUUUGGAUGUCUGCCCUAUCAACUUUCAAUGCUAUUUUCCGCGCCUACCAUAGUGACCACGGGUAACGGGGAAUCAGGGUUCGUUUCCAGAGAGAGAGCCUGAGAAACGGCUACCACAUGCAAGAAAGGCAGCAGGCGUGCAAAUUAACCACUCCCGACGCAGGGAGGUAAUGA